RNAcentral lists this microRNA precursor (61 nucleotides) under Ixodes scapularis (black-legged tick). Its description in RNAcentral is "Isc-Mir-276_pre stem-loop". Lineage: Eukaryota; Metazoa; Arthropoda; Arachnida; Ixodida; Ixodidae. The record is from RNAcentral.
AGCGGGGUACGGAGGUCUUACUGUGAGCGUCAAGCCAGCUAGGAACUUCAUACCAUGCUCG